CUGACGAGUGGCGGACGGGUGAGUAAUGCUUGGGAAUCUGGCUUAUGGAGGGGGAUAACGACGGGAAACUGUCGCUAAUACCGCGUAUUAUCGGAAGAUGAAAGUGCGGGACUGAGAGGCCGCAUGCCAUAGGAUGAGCCCAAGUGGGAUUAGGUAGUUGGUGGGGUAAAGGCCUACCAAGCCUGCGAUCUCUAGCUGGUCUGAGAGGAUGACCAGCCACACUGGAACUGAGACACGGUCCAGACUCCUACGGGAGGCAGCAGUGGGGAAUAUUGCGCAAUGGGGGGAACCCUGACGCAGCCAUGCCGCGUGAAUGAAGAAGGCCUUCGGGUUGUAAAGUUCUUUCGGUAUUGAGGAAGGGAGAUGUGUUAAUAGUACACCACAUUGACGUUAAAUACAGAAGAAGCACCGGCUAACUCCGUGCCAGCAGCCGCGGUAAUACGGAGGGUGCGAGCGUUAAUCGGAAUAACUGGGCGUAAAGGGCACGCAGGCGGUUAUUUAAGUGAGGUGUGAAAGCCCUGGGCUUAACCUAGGAAUUGCAUUUCAGACUGGGUAACUAGAGUACUUUAGGGAGGGGUAGAAUUCCACGUGUAGCGGU
Molecule: ribosomal RNA, 598 nt
Filed under: Haemophilus influenzae
Lineage: Bacteria; Pseudomonadati; Pseudomonadota; Gammaproteobacteria; Pasteurellales; Pasteurellaceae
Description: bacterial SSU rRNA
Rfam family: Bacterial small subunit ribosomal RNA
Source: RNAcentral